Molecule: ribosomal RNA, 491 nt
Filed under: uncultured bacterium
Lineage: Bacteria
Description: partial 16S ribosomal RNA
Rfam family: Bacterial small subunit ribosomal RNA
Source: RNAcentral
GAUGAACGCUGUCUACAGGCUUAACACAUGCAAGUCGAGGGGAAACGACGGGGAAGCUUGCUUCCCCGGGCGUCGACCGGCGCACGGGUGAGUAACGCGUAUCCAACCUGCCUCUGACUGAGGGAUAACCCGUCGAAAGUCGGCCUAAUACCUCAUGGCAUCGUCUGCGGGCAUCCAACGACGAUUAAAGAUUUCAUCGGUCAGGGAUGGGGAUGCGUCUGAUUAGCUUGUUGGCGGGGUAACGGCCCACCAAGGCUACGAUCAGUAGGGGUUCUGAGAGGAAGGUCCCCCACAUUGGAACUGAGACACGGUCCAAACUCCUACGGGAGGCAGCAGUGAGGAAUAUUAGUCAAUGGGCGGGAGCCUGAACCAGCCAAGUAGCGUGCAGGAUGACGGCCCUAUGGGUUGUAAACUGCUUUUAUGCGGGGAUAAAGUGAGGGACGUGUCCUUCAUUGCAGGUACCGCAUGAAUAAGGACCGGCUAAUUCCGUG